ACAGAGAGAGAGAGACUGAAGAAAGGAGCAGCUGAGAGAGUUGUUUUCCUGCAAAUGACAUUACGAAAAGGUGGAGGAGUGGGUAGACCCAUGGCUAAUCUUUGGUUCCUCCUGCUGCUUCACCUCACUGGUGUAUCAGUGACCACAAGCCAGUUGUGCCGCACAGAUAUCCCAUGGGACUAUAAUGGGACUAUCGAGUCGCCAGGAUUUCCACAGGAAUACUACGGGAACCAAAAUUGCUUGUACUCCUUUUCUCUUCCAAAUACCUUCAGCACCUGGAGAAUCAAUUUCACCUACUUUAACCUCCCGAACACAUCAUGUGAC
RNAcentral lists this long non-coding RNA (324 nucleotides) under Pomacea canaliculata. RNAcentral describes it as "uncharacterized LOC112557077, transcript variant X2". Lineage: Eukaryota; Metazoa; Mollusca; Gastropoda; Architaenioglossa; Ampullariidae. The record is from RNAcentral.